GACGAACGCUGGCGGCGUGCUUAACACAUGCAAGUCGUACGGUAAGGCCCUUUCUUUGUUGCACGAGUGGCUGACGGGUGAGUAACACGUGAGUAACCUGCCCACAACUUUGGGAUAACUCUAUGAAACUGAUUCUAAUACUUACUAUGUGCUCCUUCUUCAUGGAUGGUGGUGGAAGGCUCCGGUGGUUGUGGAUGGACUCGCGGCCGAUCAGCUUGCUUGUGGGGUAGGGGCCUACCAAGGCGGCGACGGGUAGCCGGCCUGAGAGGGUGAACGGCCAACUUGGGACUGGGAUACGGCCCAGAAUCCUAAGGGAGGCAGGAGUGGGGAAUAUUGGAACAUGGGGGCGAGGCUGAUGGAGGCACGCCGCGUGCGGGAUGAAGGGCUUCGGGCUGUAAACCGCCUUCCGCAGGGAAGAAGCUUUUUGUGACGGUACCUGCAGAAGAAGCACCGGCUAACUACGUG
This 465-nucleotide ribosomal RNA is filed under the name uncultured bacterium. RNAcentral's name for it is "partial 16S ribosomal RNA". It matches the Rfam family "Bacterial small subunit ribosomal RNA", at positions 28 to 507 of the family's 1533-position model. The record is from RNAcentral.